GGCAAGUGAUGUCUAUUUUCACGAUGGUCUUCAGAGGCCUGUGACAGGCACUGCUGAGAAAGCCAAUUGGAAGAACUGAUGCCAGAAA
Molecule: small nucleolar RNA, 88 nt
Organism: Myotis lucifugus (little brown bat)
Lineage: Eukaryota; Metazoa; Chordata; Mammalia; Chiroptera; Vespertilionidae
Product: small nucleolar RNA SNORD35
Source: Ensembl